RNAcentral lists this long non-coding RNA (3796 nucleotides) under Sus scrofa (pig). RNAcentral describes it as "lncRNA (ENSSSCG00060075794.1)". The record is from RNAcentral. Lineage: Eukaryota; Metazoa; Chordata; Mammalia; Artiodactyla; Suidae.
CCACUUGGCUAUUUAAAAGCCAUCACACACAGGAGGCGCCCUCCCACCCUAGUCUUGCUCUUCUCCAGCCAUUCACCCUGUCGCUCCGUCCAAAAGCCCAGGAAUCUUGGCUGGCCUUUCUCCUUCUCCCAGAGCCCUCAUCCAUCAGCAAACCCCAUCAGUUCAGCCUUCCACAUCCGCCGCUUCCUCAGCCCAAGUCGCUUCCUCUCCUACCACAAACAUACCUCCCAACUGAUAACCUGGAUUCCACUCUUGGCCCCCAGCUCCCAGCAUCUACUUUCCACAUGGCCACCAGAACAACACGCUAUAACUCACAUCAACCCAUGUAACUCCUCUGAGCAAAACCUCCCGAUGGCUUCUUGCUGUCAUACUUGGAAUGACGUCUGAAGGGCCCAGUGGCCCAAGAUCUGUUCACUUUCUUGGCGGCCUAUUCUCCGUGAUCCCCUUAUUCCCACUGGUCUUCUGGCUGUCCCUCAGAGACACCAAGUGCUUCCCAGCUCCAGGGCCUUCUCACUGAUGCUUCCUUAACCAAGAUGCUUCCUUUGACUGGGAUGCUCCCCUAACCAGAUGCCCUCUCUGCAGACAUUCUAGUGGUCCCCUCCUUCAUCUCAAAACCCAUCUUCCUAGGCCUUCCCUGGCUACCUUCUCUAAAAUAACAGCCCUAAAAUAAAAUAAAAUAAUAGUCCAGUCACACUUCCAUCCUAAUACUCUGCUUUAUUUUUCCCCAUAGAACCAGAGAACAUUGAUUGUAUUCUGCAUCUUUGUCUAUUAUUUGUAUCCCCUGUCAGAUGGGAGCUCUGUGCAGAGAUGCGCUUCAUUUUUUAGGAUGUUGAGGCCCCAGAAUUUAGGACGGUGACAAGCAGAUGCUCAAUGAGUGCACGAGUGAAGGAAUGAAUGAAUGAAUGAAGCAAUUGGUUGGUCACCAACUGAAGCUGGAAGCUAAAUGCCUUGUAAAGUUUGUCUAGUUCUUCUGGUCUGUAUCAGGAGGAAGGUCUAUGUAACAGGGCAGAGGAAGCACCACACAAACUCUCUUUUCAAGCCCGUAGCCUAAAUUCACAACAGAAACAUCCGAUAAGACUGUGUGCACGUCUCCUGGGGGGCUGCAUUUCUGCCCUUUCACGGGAACCAUCCCUGCACCUGUGUGCGCAGUAGGUGGCUCUGAGCAGCAGAGAGAAAUGCCAGCAGAGCUAGGAACAGUUCCCGAUGCUUUCAAUAGCUCCUUUUCUGUCUCCGUGACGAGAACAGUUGCUGGCUGCAUAUAUAAUCUUCUGUUUAGGUAACAUCCUAUUUGCAUGCUGAAACCAUGUCCUUUUUCCCCAUUACGGAUGCAAAAAGAUUGCUUCUUUCUAAUUAUGUUGCAGGCACUCAGGGAAUUCAAAGAGCAGAAAAUAUGUCAGGAACAAUUUACAAAUUGUGGCUAUUUAUGUACACGCUUGCCUGGACUACAGCAAAUAUAGAAAGGGGGAAAAAAUGCUCAUUAAAACUACCAGCUCUCCUCAGCAGAUCUGUGCUGGCAUUUGUUCUUUCAGUCCUCACUAAAUACAAGCCUAAGCCCUAAAUAGGAAUGUGACUGUGGGAAAAAUUAUUUUUCCCCAUCUCUUGGUUGUUUUCAGUGGGAGUUUAGAAAACGAAAGUUUCCCUAACAGCUCCCAUCUCUCCUUGGAAACUCCGUUUCUCUUGUCCUCAAGUCACUGUUUCUAAAAACAUGUUUGUUUGUUUUUUUUUCUCUUUUUGUUAACUGAGCCAUGCCAGGAGCUGGAAAAUUCUUUCCCGAGUCAGGAUCGAAUAAUUACUCCUUGAGAUGAAGAUACUGCCCGUGAGACGUAGGACUUCCACACUCAUGUCAAAACUUUUGAGAUAAAAUUUGUUUCUACAUUUUGAACUCCAUUAAAUUAUGAGGCAUUUGAAAGCCUUCUAGUUCUUGGGUAUCUUACCGAAGGGCUAAGAAAAGGACUGUACAAAGCCUUCAACAUAUAAACUUUCCAUCAAAAACUUCGGUAGAUAUGAAUAAAGCCACGCCAGAGAAUCCGAGUAUAACAGUUCUACCCAUUACAACAGAGGGAGUUAUGGUUGCUUGGGUUUAGGAAUUUCAAAAGGCCUUCUGGAACAUUCAUCAGCCCAAACAGAGAAGCUUCUAAGCAUCUUACAAGGCAUGUCUUUUCAGAGUCCCACACUGCCAACACCACUUUGCCUCAAUGGGCAGCUCUGAGCUUGUUUCUUAAGCUAAGUGUUGGGGAGCACCCAGGAACGGUCACCAAGCUCAACCGUAGGCAUGAAAAGACCUAAGAGUCAAUCAAGGCCCUGACAAACUCUUACACUGGCCAGAUAUACACUGACUUGAAAUCAAGGGCAAAUCCCCGUUUCCCAUUACAAAGGAAAGCGCUGGCUAACGUGAAUGUAUGGAGAUGCAGAUGCACAUGAAAUUGUCAAAUGUUCACUUUCACUGCUGAGUUUAUUGACUUAGUUGUAUAUGCAUAUUUAACGUACGAUAUUACAUGUUAACUUAGAAAUGUUGCUUUUUGGAGUUCCCGUCGUGGUGCAGCAGAAACGAAUCUGACUAGGAACCAUGAGGUUGCGGGUUCGAUCCCUGGCUUCGCUCAGUGGGUUAAGUAUCUGGUGUUGCCAUGAGCUGUGGUGUAGGUCACAGAUGUGGCUGGGAUCCUGCGUUGCUGUGGCUGUGGUGUAGGCCGGCAGCUGCAGCUCUGAUUCGACCCCUAGACUGGGAACCUCCAUAUGCUUCAGGAGCGGCCCUCAAAAGCUAAAAAAUAAAAAUUAAAAAAAAAGAAAGAAAUGUUGCUUUUGCUCGUUCUCACGUUUCACAGAGAGUUUUAUGCCAUCUCUGUGCCCUUGACGCCAGUGCUGCUGCCUUCACAAGAGGGACUCUUGAGUCAUCAGUUUUCAACAGCACAUCAUUUGUACUUUCAUCUAAGUUAUUUAAGGUUUGGCUCUUUCAGAAUCCACAUACGAGGCUGUCGCUGUGAUUUUAUUCUGAGCUGCAAAGACCCACUUGGGCAGCACUGCCCCACGAUACUUGUUCUGGUUUGUUUUCACACAACCGGAGAAGUCUAUUCAACUUGCGCUCAGUAACCUCAUGCUGUGUUGCUCAGUAUGGCUUGGGUGCCAGAAGGAGCAAUGGAGUCUGACCCAGCGCAGGGUUGAAAGCUCGUAAAUGCAGAGUUAGGGGAGCGAGAGAUGGGGCAGGACCAGAGGCCGGGAAACGUGUAAGGAGGCCACUGGCAUGGUCCAGGCAAGUUGUAAUGAGGGAUUCAACGAGACCGGUCAUAGCAGGAAGAGAUUCAAGAAAUAUCCAUGAAGCAAAACUAGCAGGGCCUGGGAACUAAGUGGAUUUAGAGGGAAAAAAGGAGGAGAGAUAAAUGAUGCUAAGGAUUCUGGCUUCAGACGCCGAGGAAACGUGGUUCUGUUACAUCCUUGGUACAAGGAAUCAAGGAGACAGGGGAAGCUGAGGUCAGGGGAGAGGGAGACCAGGUGAUCCAUUUCACAGGCAUCAGAUGUAAGUGGCUGUGGACAAACAAGUAAAGACAUCCAAUAAAAAGAGCAGGGAUGUUUGUUCCUCAUGUCCACGAAAAGACUUGACUCAAUAGCCAACCCGGGGGCCUCAGUCCACAAGUUCUAAGUAGAAGUGUGAGCCUGGCAUAAGAGUCUCAGGGGAGAAUGUGAGCAAAAAGAAAAGGGGGGCUGCUGGUAAAAGGUUAGGGUGUUAAAAGCAUGCAUGUAUGGAUGACUGGGUCAGUUUGUUGUACAGCAGAAAGGGGUACAACAUUGUAUAUCAACUAUA